Molecule: ribosomal RNA, 200 nt
Filed under: uncultured bacterium
Lineage: Bacteria
Description: partial 16S ribosomal RNA
Rfam family: Bacterial small subunit ribosomal RNA
Source: RNAcentral
AGAGUUUGAUCAUGGCUCAGAAUGAACGUUGGCGGCGUGGAUUAGGCAUGCAAGUCGUACGGGCCGCAAGGCCAGUGGCGCAAGGGUGAGUAAUGCGACGGUAACCAACCCCAUGGGUGGGUAUAGCCGCGGGAAACUGCGGGUAAUCCCCAGCGAUACACGCGACCGGCAUCGGUUGUGUGUCAAAGCUCCGGCGCGUG